Molecule: ribosomal RNA, 769 nt
Filed under: uncultured bacterium
Lineage: Bacteria
Description: bacterial SSU rRNA
Rfam family: Bacterial small subunit ribosomal RNA
Source: RNAcentral
UUUGUCGCGUUGUUCGUGAAAUCUCACGGCUUAACUGUGAGCGUGCGGGCGAUACGGGCAGACUUGAGUACUGCAGGGGAGACUGGAAUUCCUGGUGUAGCGGUGGAAUGCGCAGAUAUCAGGAGGAACACCGGUGGCGAAGGCGGGUCUCUGGGCAGUAACUGACGCUGAGGAGCGAAAGCGUGGGGAGCGAACAGGAUUAGAUACCCUGGUAGUCCACGCCGUAAACGGUGGGUACUAGGUGUGGGUUUCCUUCCUUGGGAUCCGUGCCGUAGCUAACGCAUUAAGUACCCCGCCUGGGGAGUACGGCCGCAAGGCUAAAACUCAAAGAAAUUGACGGGGGCCCGCACAAGCGGCGGAGCAUGUGGAUUAAUUCGAUGCAACGCGAAGAACCUUACCUGGGUUUGACAUGCACAGGACGCCGGCAGAGAUGUCGGUUCCCUUGUGGCCUGUGUGCAGGUGGUGCAUGGCUGUCGUCAGCUCGUGUCGUGAGAUGUUGGGUUAAGUCCCGCAACGAGCGCAACCCUUGUCUCAUGUUGCCAGCGGGUAAUGCCGGGGACUCGUGAGAGACUGCCGGGGUCAACUCGGAGGAAGGUGGGGAUGACGUCAAGUCAUCAUGCCCCUUAUGUCCAGGGCUUCACACAUGCUACAAUGGCCGGUACAAAGGGCUGCGAUGCCGCGAGGUUAAGCGAAUCCUUUUAAAGCCGGUCUCAGUUCGGAUCGGGGUCUGCAACUCGACCCCGUGAAGUCGGAGUCGCUAGUAAUCGCA